CUAAAGAACACGUUUGACAUCAGCACCUAAAAUCAUUCAUCAGAAGGACUCAAGGUGGCGUUAGAACCAGACACAGCAUCCUGGCUCAAGGUGGCGUUAGCAGAAUCAUCAUCCUGGCUCAAGGUGGCGUUAGCAGAAUAAUCAUCCUGACUCAAGGUGGCGUUAGCAGAAUCAUCAUCCUGGCUCAAGGUGGCGUUAGCAGAA
Molecule: long non-coding RNA, 204 nt
Organism: Sinocyclocheilus rhinocerous
Lineage: Eukaryota; Metazoa; Chordata; Actinopteri; Cypriniformes; Cyprinidae
Exons: 2
Source: RefSeq, a predicted model, not a curated record